Molecule: ribosomal RNA, 962 nt
Filed under: uncultured bacterium
Lineage: Bacteria
Description: bacterial SSU rRNA
Rfam family: Bacterial small subunit ribosomal RNA
Source: RNAcentral
UAAUACGUAAGUGGCAAGCGUUGUCCGGAAUUAUUGGGCGUAAAGCGCGCGCAGGCGGNCCUUUAAGUCUGAUGUGAAAGCCCACGGCUCAACCGUGGAGGGUCAUUGGAAACUGGGGGACUUGAGUGCAGGAGAGAAAAGUGGAAUUCCACGUGUAGCGGUGAAAUGCGUAGAGAUGUGGAGGAACACCAGUGGCGAAGGCGACUUUUUGGCCUGUAACUGACGCUGAGGCGCGAAAGCGUGGGGAGCAAACAGGAUUAGAUACCCUGGUAGUCCACGCCGUAAACGAUGAGUGCUAAGUGUUAGAGGGUUUCCGCCCUUUAGUGCUGAAGUAAACGCAUUAAGCACUCCGCCUGGGGAGUACGGCCGCAAGGCUGAAACUCAAAGGAAUUGACGGGGACCGCACAAGCGGCGGANCAUGUGGUUUAAUUCGAACAACGCGAAGAACCUUACCAGGUCUUGACAUCCUCUGACAAUCCUAGAGAUAGGACGUUCCCCUUCNNGGGGANAGAGUGACAGGUGGUGCAUGUUGUCGUCAGCUUGUGUCGUGAGAUGUUGGGUUAAGUCCCGCAACGAGCGCAACCCUUUGUCUUUAGUUGCCAGCAUUUAGNUGGGCAUUCUAAGGAGACUGCCGGUGACAAACCGGAGGAAGGUGGGGAUGACGUCAAAUCAUCAUGCCCCUUAUGACUUGGGCUACACACGUGCUACAAUGGAUGGUACAAAGGGUUGCGAAGCCGCGAGGUGAAGCUAAUCCCAUAAAACCAUUCUCAGUUCGGAUUGUAGGCUGCAACUCGCCUGCAUGAAGCCGGAAUCGCUAGUAAUCGUGGAUCAGCAUGCCACGGUGAAUACGUUCCCGGGUCUUGUACACACCGCCCGUCACACCACGAGAGUUUGUAACACCCGAAGUCGGUGGGGUAACCGUAAGGAGCCAGCCGCCUAAGGUGGGACAGAUGAUUGGGGUG